AACGCACGCUUGACAUAUCGACGACAUGCAUGAUAAGCACUAACGUGCGAACACGUAGGCCUUUGUACCUACGAACAAAGUUCCUCAGUCGUUGGUUUGGUUGCUGAAGUUGUAUUUGGACCCAAAUCAUGCUGUGGGUGGGUUUUCGAAGUGAAUUUCGUCGAACUUGCAGAACUCUAAGUCAUCUUUCCAUGUGACGUGGACAUGUUGGAGUUCAACAACUUUUUAUGGGCAUAAGAGCAACCAUCAAGAUGAAGUACAUGUAGAUGGUAUUUAUGUUUGGUCACAUCAAGGAGGUUGUUAAGGGAGUUGUGGAGUUGCUGACAUGCAAAAAGUCUACUGCAAUCUCGUCUUGAUCCGGAGGGGAAGGUCAAAUGUCAGGAUGAAUUCUUCAGAGAUUUCUUGAUGGAGGGCCAACAGAAGAUGGAUCAUUCUGUAUUAGACCGCUAUCCAAGGUAGCAUGAUGUCAACACUACCAUCUGGUGUCAUCAAGGAUGGCAAGUUAUGAACAGGCAAUCUUCAUCCUAUCCAUCAAGUACAAUCAGUGAGAUGGGCCACCUGACAGUUGAAUAGGCUGUGACAACUCUGACUGGUGGUGUUAUUGCAGGUGUACUGACGUCAGGUCAACUCAAUGGAAUCUAGAACCCAUGGACUGCAGGUAGAUCAAUCUUUGCAUCGUUGUACAAUCACAUCUUCAUGUUAACAGAGGGAAUGAUAACGUUUAUGAACAAGAUACAAAAUAUUACUUAAAGAAGACAAAAGUAAAAUUCCCACAUGGGUGUUUCUUGGGGUAGUUCCUGUUACAAAUCAUUUUCCCAAAAAUUAUCAAAUGUGAUAGGACAACCUGGGUGACCUUUUACUUUCAGGCUCUAUAACUGUCUGUGGAAUGUGUAACCAUUUAAAUUCUUACACAAACGUUUACAUGCAAAUGAUUUGUAAGUCAGUGCUGUUCCACAGAUUGUGUCCAAACCGGGCUCCACUUCUUUUGUAUUAUUAAAAUACUAGCUAACAAACAUGUGACAUAAGUACAUGUACCUGUAUGCUCUACACGCUGACAAUGGCUCAUUUAUUUCACUCACUGGUCCUUAAUUUGAAACUUGACACGUUUCCCUUUGGCACCUGACUCUCUGAAGCAACUAUCUAAUGCUCAGGUACAUGUAGGUGCUACUCCAGAUACAUGUCAAAUGGGCCAUGUAAUUACUUGUGACCCACUCUGCAAAAAAGGGUAAUAAGUCGUGCAAUGCCAAAGUAUGUUACGGCUUGUUCUAUUUGGAGAGGGUAACAUUUCCUCAAAAGUGUGAUUUUGUGUUUUUUCUUUUAGUUUUACUACUUUCUAUUUGUAUUUCCAGAAUUUGUGACUACAAACAUGGAUACUUGAUGAAUAAAGAUAAAAAAUUGAUCUUUCAGUAGGGAAUCCUACAUGGCAUAGUUUCCAAGCGCUACAAUUCAAGAGCUUUUUCUCAAAAAGUGCUUUUAUUGAAUCUAAAAUUGUGGAUAUGCAAAUAUCUAUAUAUCCAGAAUGCAACGCAGUACAGGAGUCAUUCAUGUAUCAAAUUGUAGUUUUUGACGUACAGAAUCCAGUCAUGUCAAAAUCUUAUCUGAAUCUGGCGACUUAUUACCCAUUUUUGUAGAGCUGGUCACAAUUGUAAUUAGUUAAAUAGUCAUCAAUAAUGAAGUUUUUAAUUGGAAUCCGAGUUUUUUCAAUUUUGUUCUAAACGAUGUAAUUACAAGAAAACAAACAUGCAGCUAUUUUGGCUUAGAAAUAGUCAUUUCAACCAGCUUGUGUCUAAUUUUUUUAGAAAGGAUGAAAAAUGAAUAUUUUUUAAAUACUUGUUUUCCUGUCGGCAGAGCUUACAUUCAUCUGCAGAUUGUCUUGAACCAUGGACCAAGACUAACGUACAUAUCAGCUGAGCUUGCAACUUUGAGCAAAGACUGAGUGCGUACAUGUACAUGUAUUUGGCAGCAGAGCAUACAAACGUGAAGCCAUAAUAGCCUGGGGGUCUUGGCAGGCCAAGAGCCCUGAGAAAAUAUUUUGGAUUCUAGAAAAUCUGUGAUGCAAUCUAAGACAAUUUCUAGCCGCAUUUGUCAGUUUGUUUAAGCAAAAGAUCAUUAUUCUGAGCUGUGCAACCAAACAGAAGCUGCAUUUUGAGCUUGUAAUUUUUUUUAGCUCAAGAAGUCCCAUAUUGGAACAUGAGAGUACCCCAAAAUGCUUGAGGCCGACAAUCAAUAUCUGGGUGUUGGCAGCCCUGGUAUCAGUCCCACCCAAGCCCCACUCAUGCUUUCGAAUCUCAAAGGUCAUUAUUGAGUGGUGCCUUCACAAUAAGUGAAAGUAACUUCCAAAGAAAUUUGUUUAUUCCCCUAAAAGCAAGAAUUCUUGUAGGCUUCAAAGUUUGUUAAAAACCCCACCUGUACCAUGUGCAUAUUUAUUAAUUUAUUCUCUCACCUUUGUGUUUAAUAUCUUCUUGGCAGUGAUUGAUUUGCUGCAAGAAUAGUUAACCAGAUGAAGUAAAUGGUUUCCAAAUAAAGAGUUGGCUCUAAUGGAGGUGGCCUGGUUGUCCAGUGGCAGCAUCAACAGCCAUCAUUACUAAGUUUCAAAAACCAUGCAAAGCCAUCACAAGAUCACCACAGGAUGCUAUUCUCAGUAAUAAUCACAAACCUUUCAAGGAAUGCCCCUUCAAGUUCUCACGAAUUUCCAUGUUCAUAAUAACCAUCCACAUGUCUCACAUGAUUAAAAUAUGUUUAUUUUGCUUUCAAACACGAUUUCUGAGUCGUAAAAAGAGGAGUCAAAUUUUCGCGCAAAUUGAAUU
This is a long non-coding RNA of Acanthaster planci (crown-of-thorns starfish), 2807 nucleotides long. RefSeq lists it as uncharacterized. NCBI's taxonomy places the organism in Eukaryota, Metazoa, Echinodermata, Asteroidea, Valvatida, Acanthasteridae. The record is from RefSeq and is a predicted model, not a curated record.